Molecule: ribosomal RNA, 262 nt
Filed under: Escherichia coli
Lineage: Bacteria; Pseudomonadati; Pseudomonadota; Gammaproteobacteria; Enterobacterales; Enterobacteriaceae
Description: partial 16S ribosomal RNA
Rfam family: Bacterial small subunit ribosomal RNA
Source: RNAcentral
AAAUUGAAGAGUUUGAUCAUGGCUCAGAUUGAACGCUGGCGGCAGGCCUAACACAUGCAAGUCGAACGGUAACAGGAAGCAGCUUGCUGCUUUGCUGACGAGUGGCGGACGGGUGAGUAAUGUCUGGGAAACUGCCCGAUGGAGGGGGAUAACUACUGGAAACGGUAGCUAAUACCGCAUAACGUCGCAAGACCAAAGAGGGGGACCUUAGGGCCUCUUGCCAUCGGAUGUGCCCAGAUGGGAUUAGCUAGUAGGUGGGGUA